AUCGGGGGUGCCUUCGGGAGCCGAGAGACAGGUGCUGCAUGGCUGUCGUCAGCUCGUGUCGUGAGAUGUUGGGUUAAGUCCCGCAACGAGCGCAACCCUUGUCCCUAGUUGCCAUCAUUUAGUUGGGAACUCUAGGGAGACCGCCGGUGACAAACCGGAGGAAGGUGGGGAUGACGUCAAGUCAGUAUGGCCCUUACGGCCUGGGCUGCACACGUACUACAAUGCCCAGUACAGAACGAUCCGAGACCGCAAGGUGGAGGAAAUCACUAAAACUGGGCCCAGUUCAGAUUGAAGUCUGCAACUCGACUUCAUGAAGCCGGAAUCGCUAGUAAUGGCGUAUCAGCUACGACGCCGUGAAUACGUUCCCGGGCCUUGUACACACCGCCCGUCACAUCAUGGGAGUCGCUUGUAGCCGAAGUCGGCGUGCUAACUAGCAAUAGAGGCAGCCGCCUACGCUAUGAGCGGUAACUGGGAUGAAGUCGUAACAAGGUAACCGU
RNAcentral lists this ribosomal RNA (497 nucleotides) under uncultured Verrucomicrobiota bacterium. RNAcentral's name for it is "bacterial SSU rRNA". It matches the Rfam family "Bacterial small subunit ribosomal RNA", at positions 1007 to 1503 of the family's 1533-position model. The record is from RNAcentral. Lineage: Bacteria; Pseudomonadati; Verrucomicrobiota.